UUCGCCCUUAGAGUUUGAUCUGGCUCAGGACGAACGCUGGCGGCGUGCCUAACACAUGCAAGUCGAACGGGACUGGUUGGAACAAGACUUCGGUCAAGGGAAUUCCAGUUUAGUGGCGAACGGGUGAGUAACGCGUGAGCAAUCUGCCCUUCAGAGGGGGACAACAGUUGGAAACGACUGCUAAUACCGCACGACAUCUUCGGAAGGCAUCUUUUGAAGAUCAAAGAUUUAUCGCUGAAGGAUGAGCUCGCGUCUGAUUAGAUAGUUGGUGGGGUAACGGCCUACCAAGUCGACGAUCAGUAGCCGGACUGAGAGGUUGAACGGCCACAUUGGGACUGAGAUACGGCCCAGACUCCUACGGGAGGCAGCAGUGGGGAAUAUUGGGCAAUGGGGGAAACCCUGACCCAGCAACGCCGCGUGAAGGAAGAAGGCUUUCGGGUUGUAAACUUCUUUUAUCAGGGACGAUAGUGACGGUACCUGAUGAAUAAGCCACGGCUAACUACGUGCCCGCAGCCGCGGUAAUACGUAGGUGGCAAGCGUUGUCCGGAUUUUUAUGGGUGUAAAGGGGCGCGUAGGCGGGGACGCCAAUUCAGAUGUGAAAUGCCGGGGCUUACCCCCGGGGCUGCAUUUGAAACUGUAGUUCUGGAGUUUCGGGGAGGCAGGCGGAAAUUCCUAGUGUAGCGGUGAAAUGCGUAGAUAUUAGGAGGAACCCCAGUGGCGAAGGGCGGCCUGCUGGACGACAACUGACGCUGAGGCGCGAAAGCGUGGGGAGCAAACAGGAUUAGAUUACCCUGGUAGUCCACGCUGUAAACGAUGAAUACUAGGUGUGGGGGGACUGACCCCCUCCGUGCCGCAGUUAACACAAUAAGUAUUCCACCUGGGGAGUACGGCCGCAAGGUUGAAACUCAAAGGAAUUGACGGGGGCCCGCACAAGCAGUGGAUUAUGUGGUUUAAUUCGAAGCAACGCGAAGAACCUUACCAGGGCUUGACAUCCAACUAACGAAGUAGAGAUACAUUAGGUGCCCUUCGGGGAAAGUUGAGACAGGUGGUGCAUGGUUGUCGUCAGCUCGUGUCGUGAGAUGUUGGGUUAAGUCCCAUAACGAGCGCAACCCCUAUUGCUAGUUGCUACGCAAGAGCACUCUAGCGAGACUGCCGUUGACAAAACGGAGGAAGGUGGGGACGACGUCAAAUCAUCAUGCCCCUUAUGUCCUGGGCUACACACGUAAUACAAUGGCGUUAAACAGAGGGAAGCAAAGCCGCGAGGUGGAGCAAAUCCCUAAAAGGCGUCUCAGUUCGGAUUGCAGGCUGCAACUCGCCUGCAUGAAGUCGGAAUUGCUAGUAAUCGCGGAUCAGCAUGCCGCGGUGAAUACGUUCCCGGGCCUUGCACUCACCGCCCGUCA
Molecule: ribosomal RNA, 1400 nt
Filed under: uncultured bacterium
Lineage: Bacteria
Description: 16S ribosomal RNA
Rfam family: Bacterial small subunit ribosomal RNA
Source: RNAcentral